Molecule: ribosomal RNA, 324 nt
Filed under: Staphylococcus agnetis
Lineage: Bacteria; Bacillati; Bacillota; Bacilli; Caryophanales; Staphylococcaceae
Description: bacterial SSU rRNA
Rfam family: Bacterial small subunit ribosomal RNA
Source: RNAcentral
UUUAUGGAGAGUUUGAUCCUGGCUCAGGAUGAACGCUGGCGGCGUGCCUAAUACAUGCAAGUCGAGCGAACAGAUGAGGAGCUUGCUCCUUUGACGUUAGCGGCGGACGGGUGAGUAACACGUGGGUAACCUACCUAUAAGACUGGAAUAACUCCGGGAAACCGGGGCUAAUGCCGGAUAACAUGUUGAACCGCAUGGUUCAACAGUGAAAGACGGUCUUGCUGUCACUUAUAGAUGGACCCGCGCCGUAUUAGCUAGUUGGUAAGGUAACGGCUUACCAAGGCGACGAUACGUAGCCGACCUGAGAGGGUGAUCGGCCACACU